AUUUUGUUUUCAAUUUCAGGAGAUUGGAUUUUUCGAGUUGGUGACUUUUCUUUGAAGCCUACGAAGACCUCUGUGUUUAAGGGUAAAUAAAAUGGUACAAGAGAUCAAUCGAAGAGAACAACAGAUUCUAGGAGGAGUUUUUGUCAAAAAUUUAAGGCAACUGGUUAAGGCUCGAAUCGAUCAACAAAAUCGAGGGACAUUAGUGAGAUUUUCUGACACUGCCCCGGGACCUGGUACAAAGAAAUCAGUGAAAAUAGAAAAAACAAGGAUGGGUUUGCGUGUUUAUGGUAGGGGUGCAAACCGAAACAAAUUGGUGGUCCAUACUAUGUAUCCACCUGCAAAUCGUAGUAAUCCGCCGAAAGAAAAAGUUCCGCUGGAUAAAACACUUUCACAACGCUUUUUGGGGUUUUCCAAUGGCAUCCACAGGUUUGCUAGCUGGAAAAAGGUUGGAGUUUUGUUGCUCUUGCUUGCCUCCGCCGCAACGGCCUUUGGAGUUUUAAAUGUCUACAGAAGGGGUGGGUCUUUAGAUAAGAUAAGGGCAAUGUAAACUUUUUUUGUUCGGUCAUAAGGGCAAUAAUGUAAACAGAUAAGCCUUUAACCGUUUUAAGGAUAAACUGUUGUUAAUACUCUUUUUUGCACCUUUUUGGUCAACUUCUAUCUUGCUGAUAAAUGUAUUUUGCUGACCCUUAUAUUCUUUUAAGGAUAAACU
Long non-coding RNA from Malus domestica (apple), 709 nucleotides. RefSeq lists it as uncharacterized. Lineage: Eukaryota; Viridiplantae; Streptophyta; Magnoliopsida; Rosales; Rosaceae. The record is from RefSeq and is a predicted model, not a curated record.